GAUGAACGCUGGCGGCGUGCCUAAUACAUGCAAGUCGAGCGAACAGACGAGGAGCUUGCUCCUCUGACGUUAGCGGCGGACGGGUGAGUAACACGUGGAUAACCUACCUAUAAGUCUGGGAUAACUUCGGGAAACCGGAGAUAAUACCGGAUAAUAUAUUGAACCGCAUGGUUCAAUAGUGAAAGACGGCUUUGCUGUCACUUAUAGCUGGAUCCGCGCCGCAUUAGCUAGUUGGUAAGGUAACGGCUUACCAAGGCGACGAUGCGUAGCCGACCUGAGAGGGUGAUCGGCCACACUGGAACUGAGACACGGUCCAGACUCCUACGGGAGGCAGCAGUAGGGAAUCUUCCGCAAUGGGCGAAAGCCUGACGGAGCAACGCCGCGUGAGUGAUGAAGGUCUUCGGAUCGUAAAACUCUGUUAUUAGGGAAGAACAAAUGUGUAAGUAACUAUGCACGUCUUGACGGUACCUAAUCAGAAAGCCACGGCUAACUACGUG
RNAcentral lists this ribosomal RNA (497 nucleotides) under uncultured bacterium. RNAcentral's name for it is "partial 16S ribosomal RNA". It matches the Rfam family "Bacterial small subunit ribosomal RNA", at positions 28 to 507 of the family's 1533-position model. The record is from RNAcentral.